Molecule: ribosomal RNA, 250 nt
Filed under: uncultured bacterium
Lineage: Bacteria
Description: partial 16S ribosomal RNA
Rfam family: Bacterial small subunit ribosomal RNA
Source: RNAcentral
GACGAACCGUGCGAACGUUAUUCGGAAUCACUGGGCUUAAAGCGCGUGUAGGCGGCCCGGCACGUCGGCCGUUGAAAGCCCCCGGCUCAACCGGGGAAGCGGCGCCGAUACGGCCGGGCUGGAGGGGGAUAGGGGGCGCUGGAACUUCCGGUGGAGCGGUGAAAUGCGUUGAGAUCGGAAGGAACGCCCGCGGCGAAAGCGAGCGCCUGGGUCCUGCCUGACGCUGAGACGCGAAAGCCAGGGGAGCGAA